UUCCGGUUGAUCCUGCCGAAGGCUACUGCUAUUGGAGUUCGAUUAAGCCAUGCGAGUCUAAGGGAUCUUCGGAUCCCUGGCGUAAUGCUCAGUAACACGUGGAUAAUCUACCCUCAGGUGGGGCAUAAACCCGGGAAACUGGGGCCAAUUCCCCAUAAAUACAGAUGGCUGGAAUGCUUCUGUAUUCAAAGCUCCGGCGCCUGAGGAUGAGUCUGCGGCCUAUCAGGUUGUAGUCAGGGUCAUGACCUGACUAGCCAGCGACGGGUAUGGGGUGUGAGAGCACUUGCCCAGAGAUGGUUUCUGAGACACGAAACCAGGCCCUACGGGGCGCAGCAGGCGCGAAAACUUCGCAAUGCGGGAAACCGUGACGAGGGAACUCCAAGUGUCUAUGCAUUGCAUAGACUGUUUUUUAGCCUAAAUAGCUAUUAGAGUAAGGGGUGGGUAAGACCGGUGCCAGCCGCCGCGGUAACACCGGCACCCCGAGUGGUAGCCACUAUUAUUGGGCCUAAAGCGUUCGUAGCCGGUUUGGUAAAUUCUUGGGUAAAUCGUACCGCUUAACGGUGCAGAUUCCGGGGACACUACCAGACUUGAGACCGGGGGAGAUCAGAGGUACUUGCGGGGGAGCGGUGAAAUGUUGUAAUCCCGCAGGGACCACCAGUGGCGAAGGCGUCUGAUCAGAACGGCUCUGACGGUGAGGAACGAAACCCU
This 708-nucleotide ribosomal RNA is filed under the name uncultured marine group III euryarchaeote. RNAcentral describes it as "bacterial SSU rRNA". It matches the Rfam family "Archaeal small subunit ribosomal RNA", at positions 1 to 713 of the family's 1478-position model. Lineage: Archaea; Methanobacteriati; Thermoplasmatota; Thermoplasmata; Candidatus Thermoprofundales. The record is from RNAcentral.